CCGGUGAAUGACUUAGCCACUUAACCUUAUUAGGAGUAAUAUGUAUGUGGUAAAGGUUAGCUAAUGGGUUUAGCUAAUGAAAUACAAUUUAUGAUAUUACGAAGUGAAAGUGUAGGAGCAGGGAAAAAAAAAAAAAAAAAAAAAAGAAGGCCUCCUGGUUUGUGCCAAGGUUAAGUUUGUGGACUUCCAGCUGAGGCACGUGAGCCCAAGAUCUCCACCUGCUGAGGUAAUCAGCCAGCCCAGGCCUACAGGUAGCUGCAAGAAGCUUAACGUGUGGAGAAACUAACUUCUCCUUACAAAGAUAUGAUUCUAACUAUUUCGACCAGACUGUCUUGGGGCCCUACCUCUCAGGAACUGAGUGCUGGAAAACCUCCACUGGAAAAAAACAAAAAACCAAAAAAACAACAACACCCUUUUAAAAGAGAGGAUAUCAGAAGUAUACAUCUUUUAUCCAUGCCCCACACACUUGCAUGUGAAGGGAGAGCACCAGCUGUUUUUCUCAUGGAGGCACUAUGGAAAACACACCUCUCAAACUGGGGCUCACAGCCAGGACAACUGGUGAUGGUGACACAAAAAAGCAACUCAUCACAGGACGUCUCCUGCUCCCUGCUUCUAGGAGGAGACAGCUUGCAAGUGCAUGUUAACAAAUUCAAAUGCUAUAAAUGAGUUUUACAGUCCUCAGUGCUGCUUAUUCUCACCUCAUGAAUCCAGAAGUGUCUAUGAAUUUGAAGAAUUGUUUUGGGGAGAUGAUCUCAUCUCCCAGCUUUGCAUAUUCUCUAGUUUCGUUUUCCACAGCAACUUGUUCCAUGCACUCUGAGCUAGCAAGCCAAACUUUCCAGAAAUGGACAAACCCCUAUUGCUUUCCUUCCUCUUCCUUUCCUUGUGUUUGCUGGUUCAUCAGUUCAUCAUCUCACUGAGGGGCUACAGGUUUUGUCCAGCCACAGUAGUUAUUUCUUAUGUUUUUAAUAUUUUAUGUACUUUUUAUGUUCUCAAAAGCAGAAUUUUACAAUUCCAUAGAUCAAAUAAAUCCCAGGCCUUCUAAAAUCA
This 1047-nucleotide long non-coding RNA is filed under the name Numida meleagris (helmeted guineafowl). RNAcentral's name for it is "lncRNA (ENSNMEG00000006769.1)". The record is from RNAcentral. Lineage: Eukaryota; Metazoa; Chordata; Aves; Galliformes; Numididae.